This 500-nucleotide ribosomal RNA is filed under the name uncultured bacterium. RNAcentral describes it as "partial 16S ribosomal RNA". It matches the Rfam family "Bacterial small subunit ribosomal RNA", at positions 30 to 523 of the family's 1533-position model. The record is from RNAcentral.
AUUGAACGCUGGCGGCAUGCCUUACACAUGCAAGUCGAACGGCAGCACGGGAGCAAUCCUGGUGGCGAGUGGCGAACGGGUGAGUAAAGUAUCGGAACGUGCCCAGUCGUGGGGGAUAACGUAGCGAAAGUUACGCUAAUACCGCCUACGAUCUAUGGAUGAAAGCGGGGGAUCGCAAGACCUCGCGCGAUUGGAGCGGCCGAUAUCAGAUUAGGUAGUUGGUGGGGUAAAGGCUCACCAAGCCGACGAUCUGUAGCUGGUCUGAGAGGACGACCAGCCACACUGGGACUGAGACACGGCCCAGACUCCUACGGGAGGCAGCAGUGGGGAAUUUUGGACAAUGGGCGCAAGCCUGAUCCAGCCAUGCCGCGUGCAGGAUGAAGGCCUUCGGGUUGUAAACUGCUUUUGUACGGAACGAAAAGGUUUGACUUAAUACGUUGGACUCAUGACGGUACCGUAAGAAUAAGCACCGGCUAACUACGUGCCAGCAGCCGCCGCAG